RNAcentral lists this ribosomal RNA (454 nucleotides) under uncultured Rikenellaceae bacterium. RNAcentral's name for it is "partial 16S ribosomal RNA". It matches the Rfam family "Bacterial small subunit ribosomal RNA", at positions 341 to 792 of the family's 1533-position model. Lineage: Bacteria; Pseudomonadati; Bacteroidota; Bacteroidia; Bacteroidales; Rikenellaceae. The record is from RNAcentral.
ACGGAAGGCAGCAGUGAGGAAUAUUGGUCAAUGGACGCAAGUCUGAACCAGCCAUGCCGCGUGCAGGAAUAAGGCCCUAUGGGUCGUAAACUGCUUUUGUGGUGGAGCAAUAAGUCGUACGUGUACGGCGACGAGAGUACAUCACGAAUAAGCAUCGGCUAACUCCGUGCCAGCAGCCGCGGUAAUACGGAGGAUGCAAGCGUUAUCCGGAUUUAUUGGGUUUAAAGGGUGCGUAGGCUGUGGUCCAAGUCAGGGGUGAAAGCCCGGAGCUCAACUCCGGAACUGCCUUUGAUACUGGAUUGCUGGAAUACGGAUGCCGUGGGAGGAAUGAGUAGUGUAGCGGUGAAAUGCAUAGAUAUUACUCAGAACACCGAUUGCGAAGGCAUCUCACGAAUCCGUCAUUGACGCUGAGGCACGAAAGCGUGGGGAUCAAACAGGAUUAGAUACCCUGGUA